This 1397-nucleotide ribosomal RNA is filed under the name uncultured bacterium. Its description in RNAcentral is "bacterial SSU rRNA". It matches the Rfam family "Bacterial small subunit ribosomal RNA", at positions 28 to 1381 of the family's 1533-position model. The record is from RNAcentral.
GAUGAACGCUGGCGGCGUGCCUAAUACAUGCAAGUCGAACGAACUUCCGUUAAUUGAUUAUGACGUACUUGUACUGAUUGAGAUUUUAACACGAAGUGAGUGGCGAACGGGUGAGUAACACGUGGGUAACCUGCCCAGAAGUAGGGGAUAACACCUGGAAACAGAUGCUAAUACCGUAUAACAGAGAAAACCGCAUGGUUUUCUUUUAAAAGAUGGCUCUGCUAUCACUUCUGGAUGGACCCGCGGCGUAUUAGCUAGUUGGUGAGGUAAAGGCUCACCAAGGCAGUGAUACGUAGCCGACCUGAGAGGGUAAUCGGCCACAUUGGGACUGAGACACGGCCCAGACUCCUACGGGAGGCAGCAGUAGGGAAUCUUCCACAAUGGACGCAAGUCUGAUGGAGCAACGCCGCGUGAGUGAAGAAGGGUUUCGGCUCGUAAAGCUCUGUUGUUAAAGAAGAACGUGGGUAAGAGUAACUGUUUACCCAGUGACGGUAUUUAACCAGAAAGCCACGGCUAACUACGUGCCAGCAGCCGCGGUAAUACGUAGGUGGCAAGCGUUAUCCGGAUUUAUUGGGCGUAAAGCGAGCGCAGGCGGUCUUUUAAGUCUAAUGUGAAAGCCUUCGGCUCAACCGAAGAAGUGCAUUGGAAACUGGGAGACUUGAGUGCAGAAGAGGACAGUGGAACUCCAUGUGUAGCGGUGAAAUGCGUAGAUAUAUGGAAGAACACCAGUGGCGAAGGCGGCUGUCUGGUCUGCAACUGACGCUGAGGCUCGAAAGCAUGGGUAGCGAACAGGAUUAGAUACCCUGGUAGUCCAUGCCGUAAACGAUGAUUACUAAGUGUUGGAGGGUUUCCGCCCUUCAGUGCUGCAGCUAACGCAUUAAGUAAUCCGCCUGGGGAGUACGACCGCAAGGUUGAAACUCAAAAGAAUUGACGGGGGCCCGCACAAGCGGUGGAGCAUGUGGUUUAAUUCGAAGCUACGCGAAGAACCUUACCAGGUCUUGACAUCUUCUGACAGUCUAAGAGAUUAGAGGUUCCCUUCGGGGACAGAAUGACAGGUGGUGCAUGGUUGUCGUCAGCUCGUGUCGUGAGAUGUUGGGUUAAGUCCCGCAACGAGCGCAACCCUUAUUACUAGUUGCCAGCAUUAAGUUGGGCACUCUAGUGAGACUGCCGGUGACAAACCGGAGGAAGGUGGGGACGACGUCAAAUCAUCAUGCCCCUUAUGACCUGGGCUACACACGUGCUACAAUGGAUGGUACAACGAGUCGCGAGACCGCGAGGUUAAGCUAAUCUCUUAAAACCAUUCUCAGUUCGGACUGUAGGCUGCAACUCGCCUACACGAAGUCGGAAUCGCUAGUAAUCGCGGAUCAGCAUGCCGCGGUGAAUACGUUCCCGGGCCU